This 134-nucleotide non-coding RNA is filed under the name Asanoa hainanensis. Its description in RNAcentral is "SAM-I sequence". It matches the Rfam family "SAM riboswitch aptamer (S box leader)". From Rfam's summary of the family: The SAM riboswitch is found upstream of a number of genes which code for proteins involved in methionine or cysteine biosynthesis in Gram-positive bacteria. The SAM riboswitch acts at the level of transcription termination control. Lineage: Bacteria; Bacillati; Actinomycetota; Actinomycetes; Micromonosporales; Micromonosporaceae. The record is from Rfam by way of RNAcentral.
ACCUCAUCCAGAGGGGCUGAGGGAUACGGCCCGAAGACGCCCCGGCAACCACCGCCGUCGACUCAUCGCUGAGUCGCGGUGCGCAGGUGCCAAUUCCGUCCCCGUCGCACGGUGCGGCGUGGGGAAGAUGAGAG